Drosophila obscura is the source of this 1551-nucleotide long non-coding RNA. RefSeq lists it as uncharacterized. The transcript is spliced from 4 exons. The record is from RefSeq and is a predicted model, not a curated record. Lineage: Eukaryota; Metazoa; Arthropoda; Insecta; Diptera; Drosophilidae.
CAGCGAUGAUCGUCAGCAUGCGUUAUCCGACGCGUACCUCGUUUGUAUUUCACUCCCCAAGCCUCCAGAGACUCCUCUCGGGUUACCUUUUGGUCGCGGGAGAGGCUCUCGAAAUUUACGCGCGCCAACACAAAACGAGGGAGUCCAGGAGCGGACCAAGGCCUUAAAUGUGUGGGAAAACAGAGUUACAGAGAUUCUUCUGGGGUGUCUUCGAAUAUAGUCCGCCCCUGAGCCUGAGCGUGUCCCAAAAUGCAUUCCUCGAUCGCGUGCUGUGUGAGUGUGUGUGGGGAUUGGGUGGGGUAUUGCCUGGUUUCAAUGUGCGUCGCGAGUCGCGACGACGGCACAGCGACGAUUAUGAUGAUUAAAAUUGAUAAGCGAAAUAUUUUUAUCAUUUCUCAAAUUAACAUAAACCAUAUGCGAUUAUCACACAAUAAGCUCAGCGGCUGUUGUGGCCACAACAGGCAACAAACACUCUGCCUCUGCCUCUCUUUUUUUGUUGUUCGCUUUUUAUAAGCUUUUAUGGCCCGCCUCUGACUGCGUUCGCUUAUAAGUUAUGGCAUUGCUGCGAAAUUAUGGCAUUGGCCAUUGGAUUUGGUCGCGGCAAAAGUGUCAAUGGGCAAAACAUGAAAUUUAUGAGGAUUUACCAGCCCCAGCGGUCAUGUCACGGUCUUACAGUGUGUCCUGCCCCAUAAAGAGGCUUUUAUUCAACUCUUAACCUAUGCGUGCUUACGGGACUAAAACGGUUUGAAGCGUCGCGACUGCUUCAGCAGUUCAAUUUUUCGCUUAUCCUCCUCGAACUUUUUGCGCAUCUCGACGAUAUUCUGCAUUUUACUUUCGCGUAUCUGGAAGGUGUAAAAGUUUUUCAGCUCCUUCGUUUUUGUGUCGUUUGCCCGCUUCUUCUCGAGGCGUCCGAUGACGGACUCCUUCUGCUCGAAGCCAGCAUUGCGACCCUCUUUGCCCACAGUGACCCAGCCAUCGGCGUCGGCUUCGCUAUUCUUGGCUGCCAGUGCGGCCGCUCGCUCUCUCCGGUCAUAGUCGGCCAUAUAUUCGCUGAUCUGUGCCUUUGUCUUCUCCGCAUCCAGCAAGUAAUGAUUUUCGUACUCUUCGUGCCACAGAUCCAUGCCCGUUUUGAUGGUGGACUCGCCGCUGCCGCUGUCGAACAGGUCAAUGCUCGGCACGGCCAAGGCCUUGGCCAGGCUGCUGCUCUUCUGGAACACCACGCUUCGCUGCAAAUUGUACGCUCUCCACGUUGCCGGCCCGCUUGAAGAAACCCUUCAGGCCGUCCUCCGUCACAUAGGGCGGUAUAUUGAGCAGGAACAACGUGCGACCCUUGGGUUUAUUCGGAUCCAUCAGCCGGAUGAAGUGCUCCCGCAUGUAAACGCUGUGGCAGUGCUGUGCGUCGCGGCUCAUUCGCAGAGGAACAACUAGAAGUCAGUUUUGAUGCUCCUUCCUGCAGAGGGUAUUAUAAUUCUGAUCACAUGUUUGCAAGGCAGAUUGGAAAGUCUUGGAAAACAAAACAACUGAAUGAUGGAUCUUCAAGGGUAUCAAGAG